Molecule: unclassified non-coding RNA, 518 nt
Filed under: Lodderomyces parapsilosis
Lineage: Eukaryota; Fungi; Ascomycota; Pichiomycetes; Serinales; Debaryomycetaceae
Description: Candida parapsilosis sequence contains 18S rRNA gene, ITS1, 5.8S rRNA gene, ITS2, 28S rRNA gene
Rfam family: 5.8S ribosomal RNA (bases 192-345)
Source: RNAcentral
GUAACAAGGUUUCCGUAGGUGAACCUGCGGAAGGAUCAUUACAGAAUGAAAAGUGCUUAACUGCAUUUUUUCUUACACAUGUGUUUUUCUUUUUUUGAAAACUUUGCUUUGGUAGGCCUUCUAUAUGGGGCCUGCCAGAGAUUAAACUCAACCAAAUUUUAUUUAAUGUCAACCGAUUAUUUAAUAGUCAAAACUUUCAACAACGGAUCUCUUGGUUCUCGCAUCGAUGAAGAACGCAGCGAAAUGCGAUAAGUAAUAUGAAUUGCAGAUAUUCGUGAAUCAUCGAAUCUUUGAACGCACAUUGCGCCCUUUGGUAUUCCAAAGGGCAUGCCUGUUUGAGCGUCAUUUCUCCCUCAAACCCUCGGGUUUGGUGUUGAGCGAUACGCUGGGUUUGCUUGAAAGAAAGGCGGAGUAUAAACUAAUGGAUAGGUUUUUUCCACUCAUUGGUACAAACUCCAAAACUUCUUCCAAAUUCGACCUCAAAUCAGGUAGGACUACCCGCUGAACUUAAGCAUAUC